RNAcentral lists this ribosomal RNA (406 nucleotides) under Runcina africana. Its description in RNAcentral is "partial large subunit ribosomal RNA". It matches the Rfam family "Archaeal large subunit ribosomal RNA", at positions 1908 to 2666 of the family's 2987-position model. Lineage: Eukaryota; Metazoa; Mollusca; Gastropoda; Runcinacea; Runcinidae. The record is from RNAcentral.
AGCUUAAAGAAAAUAUUUUAAGUUUAACCUGCCCUGUGAUUAUUUUAACGGCUGCGGUACUUUGACCGUACUAAGGUAGCAUAAUCAAUUGGCUUUUAAAUGGAGUCUGGAAUGAACGGGAAUUUGGAGUUAAACUUUCUUAAACAAAUUUUUUUGAAUUUACUAUGAAAGUGAAAAAGCUUUCAAUUGAAAAAAGACGAGAAGACCCUUGGAGUUUAUAGUGAUUUUGUUGGGGCGACAUAAAAAAGUUAACUUUUUUAUACUUUAUAUCAACUUUUAGUUUUUAUAAACAAACUACCCAAGGGAUAACAGCAUAAUUCUUAAGAGAUUGUGACCUCGAUGUUGGACUAGGAAAAGUCUUAACUAACAGUUAAGACUUUAUGUUCUGUUCGAACUUUAUUCUCCU